GGGGAUGUAGCUCAGUUGGUUAGAGUGCCGGCCUGUCACGCCGGAGGUCGCGAGUUCGAGUCUCGUCAUCCCCG
RNAcentral lists this transfer RNA (74 nucleotides) under Reticulomyxa filosa. It matches the Rfam family "tRNA". From Rfam's summary of the family: Transfer RNA (tRNA) molecules are approximately 80 nucleotides in length. Their secondary structure includes four short double-helical elements and three loops (D, anti-codon, and T loops). The record is from Rfam by way of RNAcentral. Lineage: Eukaryota; Foraminifera; Reticulomyxidae.